RNAcentral lists this ribosomal RNA (492 nucleotides) under uncultured bacterium. RNAcentral's name for it is "partial 16S ribosomal RNA". It matches the Rfam family "Bacterial small subunit ribosomal RNA", at positions 29 to 507 of the family's 1533-position model. The record is from RNAcentral.
AGUGAACGCUGGCGGUAGGCCUAACACAUGCAAGUCGAACGGCAGCACAGUAAGAGCUUGCUCUUACGGGUGGCGAGUGGCGUACGGGUGAGGAAUACAUCGGAAUCUACUUUUUCGUGGGGGAUAACGUAGGGAAACUUACGCUAAUACCGCAUACGACCUACGUGUGAAAGCAGGGGAUCUUCGGACCUUGCGCGAUUGAAUGAGCCGAUGUCGGAUUAGCUAGUUGGCGGGUUAAAGGCCCACCAAGGCGAAAAUCCGUAGCUGGUCUGAGAGGAUGAUCAGCAACACUGGAACUGAGACACGGUCCAGACUCCUACGGGAGGCAGUAGUGGGGAAUAUUGGACAAUGGGCGCAAGCCUGAUCCAGCCAUACCGCGUGGGUGAAGAAGGCCUUCGAGUUGUAAAGCCCUUCUGUUGGGAAAGAAAAGCAGCAGGUUAAUACCCCGCUGUUCUGACGGUACCCAAAGAAUAAGCACCGGCUAACUUCGUG